AGGAUGAACGCUGGCGGCGUGCUUAACACAUGCAAGUCGAACGAUGAAGCAGAGCUUGCUCUGUGGAUUAGUGGCGAACGGGUGAGUAACACGUGAGUAACCUGCCCUUGACUCUGGAAUAAGCGUUGGAAACGACGUCUAAUACCGGAUACGAGCUUCCGCCGCAUGGUGAGGAGCUGGAAAGAAUUUCGGCAAGGAUGGACUCGCGGCCUAUCAGGUAGUUGGUGAGGUAAUGGCUCACCAAGCCUACGACGGGUAGCCGGCCUGAGAGGGUGACCGGCCACACUGGAACUGAGACACGGUCCAGACUCCUACGGGAGCAGCAGUGGGAAUAUGCACAAUGGGCGCAAGCCUGAUGCAGCAACGCCGCGUGAGGGACGACGGCC
RNAcentral lists this ribosomal RNA (386 nucleotides) under uncultured soil bacterium. Its description in RNAcentral is "bacterial SSU rRNA". It matches the Rfam family "Bacterial small subunit ribosomal RNA", at positions 26 to 416 of the family's 1533-position model. The record is from RNAcentral.